UACGUAGGCAGCGAGCGUUGUUCGGAAUUCUGGGCGUAAAGAGUGUGUAGGCGGUGCUCUAAGUUCGGUGUGAAAUCUCCCGCUUAACUGGGAGGGUGCGCCGGAAACUGGAGUGCUCGAGCGUGGGAGAGGGAAAGCGGAAUUCCUGGUGUAGCGGUGAAAUGCGUAGAUAUCAGGAGGAACACCUGCGGUGUAGACGGCUUUCUGGACCAUUGCUGACGCUGGAGAACACGGAAAAGCGUGGGUAGCAAACAGG
RNAcentral lists this ribosomal RNA (256 nucleotides) under uncultured bacterium. RNAcentral describes it as "partial 16S ribosomal RNA". It matches the Rfam family "Bacterial small subunit ribosomal RNA", at positions 524 to 776 of the family's 1533-position model. The record is from RNAcentral.